RNAcentral lists this ribosomal RNA (498 nucleotides) under uncultured bacterium. RNAcentral describes it as "partial 16S ribosomal RNA". It matches the Rfam family "Bacterial small subunit ribosomal RNA", at positions 28 to 507 of the family's 1533-position model. The record is from RNAcentral.
GACGAACGCUGGCGGCGUGCCUAAUACAUGCAAGUCGAACGAGAGCGACCGGUGCUUGCACUGGUCAAUCUAGUGGCGAACGGGUGAGUAACACGUGGGUAACCUGCCCAUCAGAGGGGGAUAACAUUCGGAAACGGAUGCUAAAACCGCAUAGGUCUUCGAACCGCAUGGUUUGAAGAGGAAAAGAGGCGCAAGCUUCUGCUGAUGGAUGGACCCGCGGUGCAUUAGCUAGUUGGUGAGGUAACGGCUCACCAAGGCCGUGAUGCAUAGCCGACCUGAGAGGGUGAUCGGCCACAUUGGGACUGAGACACGGCCCAAACGCCUACGGGAGGCAGCAGUAGGGAAUCUUCCGCAAUGGACGCAAGUCGGACGGAGCAACGCCGCGUGAGUGAAGAAGGUUUUCGGAUCGUAAAACUCUGUUGUUAGAGAAGAAUAAGUGCUAGAGUAACUGUUAGCGCCUUGACGGUAGCUAACCAGAAAGCCACGGCUAACUACGUG